Molecule: ribosomal RNA, 490 nt
Filed under: uncultured bacterium
Lineage: Bacteria
Description: partial 16S ribosomal RNA
Rfam family: Bacterial small subunit ribosomal RNA
Source: RNAcentral
AUUGAACGCUGGCGGCAUGCCUUACACAUGCCAGUCGAACGGCAGCAUGAUCUAGCUUGCUAGAUUGAUGGCGAGUGGCGAACGGGUGAGUAAUACAUCGGAACGUGCCCUGUAGUGGGGGAUAACUAGUCGAAAGAUUAGCUAAUACCGCAUACGACCUGAGGGUGAAAGUGGGGGACCGCAAGGCCUCAUGCUAUAGGAGCGGCCGAUGUCUGAUUAGCUAGUUGGUGAGGUAAAGGCUCACCAAGGCGACGAUCAGUAGCUGGUCUGAGAGGACGAUCAGCCACACUGGGACUGAGACACGGCCCAGACUCCUACGGGAGGCAGCAGUGGGGAAUUCUGGACAAUGGGCGAAAGCCUGAUCCAGCAAUGCCGCGUGUGUGAAGAAGGCCUUCGGGUUGUAAAGCACUUUUGUCCGGAAAGAAAUGGCUCUGGUUAAUACCUGGGGUCGAUGACGGUACCGGAAGAAUAAGGACCGGCUAACUACGUG